CCUACGGGAGGCAGCAGUGGGGAAUAUUGGGCAAUGGGCGCAAGCCUGACCCAGCAACGCCGCGUGAAGGAAGAAGGCUUUAGGGUUGUAAACUUCUUUUAUCCGGGACGAAGCAAGUGACGGUACCUGCUGAAUAAGCCACGGCUAACUACGUGCCAGCAGUCGCGGUAAUACGUAGGUGGCAAGCGUUAUCCGGAUUUAAUGGGGGUAAAGGGCGUGUAGGCGGGAGUGCAAGUCAGAUGUGAAAACUAGGGGGUCAAACCAUAGCCUGCAUUUGAAACUGUACUUCUUGAGAGCUGGAGAGGUAAGCGGAAUGCGGAGUGUAGCGGUGAAAUGCGUAGAUAUACGGAGGAACACCAGUGGCGAAGGCGGAUUGCUGGAGAGUAUCUGACGCUGAGGCGCGAAAGCGUGGGGAGCAAACAGGAUUAGAUACCCUUGUAGUC
Molecule: ribosomal RNA, 443 nt
Filed under: uncultured bacterium
Lineage: Bacteria
Description: partial 16S ribosomal RNA
Rfam family: Bacterial small subunit ribosomal RNA
Source: RNAcentral